This 362-nucleotide unclassified non-coding RNA is filed under the name Hevea brasiliensis (rubber tree). Lineage: Eukaryota; Viridiplantae; Streptophyta; Magnoliopsida; Malpighiales; Euphorbiaceae. The record is from RNAcentral.
AUCCCCUCGCAUUUAUCGGACUUAUCGAGCCACCCUUGCUUCUCAAAGAAUGCACUUUGCAAGGAGCAAUUGCAGGCUGUGUCAAAGACAUUGAAAGAAGCAAUUGAAUUGUCAGAUUUAUGUAACAGUGAGCGAGGGUAAACUUAGGAUGCAGAGCGAUCUUGAUUCUUUAUCCGGGAGAUUGGAUUUGAAUUUGCGAGAUUGUGGGCUUCUGAUUAAGACUGGGGUGCUUGGUGAAGUUACUUUGCCUUCUGCUGUGGCCGGUUCAUCAACAGAACCUGAGGCUGCCGUUCAUAGCAAUAUAAGGGAAUUGCUUGCUCGGCUUCAGAUCGGGCACUUGGAAGCAAAGCACAAAGCUCUUG